This 86-nucleotide transfer RNA is filed under the name Bacillota bacterium. RNAcentral's name for it is "tRNA-Tyr". It matches the Rfam family "tRNA". From Rfam's summary of the family: Transfer RNA (tRNA) molecules are approximately 80 nucleotides in length. Their secondary structure includes four short double-helical elements and three loops (D, anti-codon, and T loops). Further hydrogen bonds mediate the characteristic L-shaped molecular structure. tRNAs have two regions of fundamental functional importance: the anti-codon, which is responsible for specific mRNA codon recognition, and the 3' end, to which the tRNAs corresponding amino acid is attached (by aminoacyl-tRNA synthetases). tRNAs cope with the degeneracy of the genetic code in two manners: having more than one tRNA (with a specific anti-codon) for a particular amino acid; and 'wobble' base-pairing, i.e. permitting non-standard base-pairing at the 3rd anti-codon position. Lineage: Bacteria; Bacillati; Bacillota. The record is from RNAcentral.
GGUGGGGUUCCCGAGUGGCCAAAGGGGGCAGACUGUAAAUCUGCUGGCGACCGCCUUCGCUGGUUCAAAUCCAGCCCCCACCACCA